GAUGAACGCUGGCGGCGUGCUUAACACAUGCAAGUCGAACGAAGCACUUUAUUUGAUUUCCUUCGGGACUUAUUAUUUUGUGACUGAGUGGCGGACGGGUGAGUAACGCGUGGGUAACCUGCCUUGUACAGGGGGAUAACAGUUGGAAACGGCUGCUAAUACCGCAUAAGCGCACGGCAUCGCAUGAUGCAGUGUGAAAAACUCCGGUGGUAUAAGAUGGACCCGCGUUGGAUUAGCUAGUUGGUGAGGUAACGGCCCACCAAGGCGACGAUCCAUAGCCGACCUGAGAGGGUGACCGGCCACAUUGGGACUGAGACACGGCCCAAACUCCUACGGGAGGCAGCAGUGGGGAAUAUUGCACAAUGGGCGAAAGCAUGAUGCAGCGACGCCGCGUGAGCGAAGAAGUAUUUCGGUAUGUAAAGCUCUAUCAGCAGGGAAGAUAAUGACGGUACCUGACUAAGAAGCACCGGCUAAAUACGUG
This 481-nucleotide ribosomal RNA is filed under the name uncultured bacterium. RNAcentral describes it as "partial 16S ribosomal RNA". It matches the Rfam family "Bacterial small subunit ribosomal RNA", at positions 28 to 507 of the family's 1533-position model. The record is from RNAcentral.